RNAcentral lists this ribosomal RNA (774 nucleotides) under uncultured fungus. RNAcentral describes it as "eukaryotic LSU rRNA". It matches the Rfam family "Eukaryotic large subunit ribosomal RNA", at positions 30 to 821 of the family's 3401-position model. Lineage: Eukaryota; Fungi. The record is from RNAcentral.
GAACUUAAGCAUAUCAAUAAGCGGAGGAAAAGAAACUAACAAGGAUUCCCCUAGUAACUGCGAGUGAAGCGGGAAAAGCUCAAAUUUGAAAUCUGGCGGUUUCUGCCGUCCGAGUUGUAUUCUGGAGAAGCGUUUUCCGUGCUGGACCGUGUACAAGUGCCUUGGAACAGGCCGUCAUAGAGGGUGAGAAUCCCGUCUUUGACACGGACUGCCAGUGCUCUGUGAUGCGCUCUCGAAGAGUCGAGUUGUUUGGGAAUGCAGCUCAAAAUGGGUGGUAAAUUCCAUCUAAAGCUAAAUAUUGGCGAGAGACCGAUAGCGAACAAGUACCGUGAGGGAAAGAUGAAAAGCACUUUGGAAAGAGAGUAAAACAGUACGUGAAAUUGUUGAAAGGGAAACGCUUGAAGUCAGUCGCGUCUUCUGGAACUCAGCCUUGCUUCUGCUUGGUGCACUUUCCAGUCUGACGGGCCAGCAUCGGUUUUGGCGGGGCAGACAAAGGCGGGGGGAAGGUGGCCGCUCCGGCGGUGUUAUAGCCCCCCGUUGCAUGUGUCCCCUGGGACCGAGGAAUCCGGCGCAAGCCUGGGAUGCUGGCGUAAUGGCUUUAAACGACCCGUCUUGAAACACGGACCAAGGAGUGCUACAUGCUCGCGAGUGUUUGGGUGGAAAACCCGGACGCGUAAUGAAAGUGAAACCCGAUACCCUUUACUGGGGCACCGGGGCCCGAGCCUGAUGUUUUCGGAAGGCCUUGCGGUAGAGCGAGUACGUUGCGACCCGAAA